This 301-nucleotide ribosomal RNA is filed under the name uncultured bacterium. Its description in RNAcentral is "partial 16S ribosomal RNA". It matches the Rfam family "Bacterial small subunit ribosomal RNA", at positions 509 to 809 of the family's 1533-position model. The record is from RNAcentral.
CAGUAGCCGCGGGAAUACGUAGGUGGCAAGCGUUGUCCGGAGUUAUUGGGCGUAAAGGGCUCGCAGGCGGUUUCUUAAGUCUGAUGUGAAAGCCCCCGGCUCAACCGGGGAGGGUCAUUGGAAACUGGGAAACUUGAGUGCAGAAGAGGAGAGUGGAAUUCCACGUGUAGCGGUGAAAUGCGUAGAGAUGUGGAGGAACACCAGUGGCGAAGGCGACUCUCUGGUCUGUAACUGACGCUGAGGAGCGAAAGCGUGGGGAGCGAACAGGAUUAGAUACCCCGGUAGUCCCUGUCUCUUAUAA